UGCAUGGCUGUCGUCAGCUCGUGUCGUGAGAUGUUCGGUUAAGUCCGCUAACGAGCGCAACCCGCGUUGUGUGUUAUAUGUGUCACACAAUACCGCCGGUAUUAAGCCGGAGGAAGGUGCGGAUGACGUCAAGUCAGCAUGACCUUUAUAUCCAGGGCUACACACACGCUACAAUGGACAGUACAACAGGUUGCCAAGCCGCGAGGCGGAGCCAAUCCUCUAAAGCUGUACCUCAGUUCCGGAUUGCAGGCUGCAACUCGCCUGCAUGAAGUUGGAGUUGCUAGUAACCGCAGGUCAGCUAUACUGCGGUGAAUACGUUCCCGGGGAUU
This 329-nucleotide ribosomal RNA is filed under the name uncultured Anaerolineaceae bacterium. Its description in RNAcentral is "bacterial SSU rRNA". It matches the Rfam family "Bacterial small subunit ribosomal RNA", at positions 1042 to 1378 of the family's 1533-position model. Lineage: Bacteria; Bacillati; Chloroflexota; Anaerolineae; Anaerolineales; Anaerolineaceae. The record is from RNAcentral.